This 253-nucleotide ribosomal RNA is filed under the name uncultured bacterium. RNAcentral describes it as "partial 16S ribosomal RNA". It matches the Rfam family "Bacterial small subunit ribosomal RNA", at positions 524 to 776 of the family's 1533-position model. The record is from RNAcentral.
UACGAAGGGGGCUAGCGUUGUUCGGAAUUACUGGGCGUAAAGCGCGUGUAGGCGGGCCGUUAAGUCGGGGGUGAAAGCCCAGAGCUCAACUCUGGAAUUGCCUUCGAUACUGGCGGCCUGGAGCAUGAUAGAGGCGAGUGGAAUUGCGAGUGUAGAGGUGAAAUUCGUAGAUAUUCGCAGGAACACCAGUGGCGAAGGAGACUCGCGGGAUCAUUGCUGACGAUGAGACGCGAAAGCGUGGGGAGCAAACAGG